This 700-nucleotide ribosomal RNA is filed under the name uncultured Bacteroidales bacterium. Its description in RNAcentral is "bacterial SSU rRNA". It matches the Rfam family "Bacterial small subunit ribosomal RNA", at positions 77 to 774 of the family's 1533-position model. Lineage: Bacteria; Pseudomonadati; Bacteroidota; Bacteroidia; Bacteroidales. The record is from RNAcentral.
UUGCUAAGACUGAUGGCGACCGGCGCACGGGUGAGUAACACGUAUCCAACCUGCCGUCUACUCUUGGACAGCCUUCUGAAAGGAAGAUUAAUACAAGAUGGCAUCAUGAGUCCGCAUGUUCACAUGAUUAAAGGUAUUCCGGUAGACGAUGGGGAUGCGUUCCAUUAGAUAGUAGGCGGGGUAACGGCCCACCUAGUCUUCGAUGGAUAGGGGUUCUGAGAGGAAGGUCCCCCACAUUGGAACUGAGACACGGUCCAAACUCCUACGGGAGGCAGCAGUGAGGAAUAUUGGUCAAUGGGCGAGAGCCUGAACCAGCCAAGUAGCGUGAAGGAUGACUGCCCUAUGGGUUGUAAACUUCUUUUAUAAAGGAAUAAAGUCGGGUAUGUAUACCCGUUUGCAUGUACUUUAUGAAUAAGGAUCGGCUAACUCCGUGCCAGCAGCCGCGGUAAUACGGAGGAUCCGAGCGUUAUCCGGAUUUAUUGGGUUUAAAGGGAGCGUAGAUGGAUGUUUAAGUCAGUUGUGAAAGUUUGCGGCUCAACCGUAAAAUUGCAGUUGAUACUGGAUAUCUUGAGUGCAGUUGAGGCAGGCGGAAUUCGUGGUGUAGCGGUGAAAUGCUUAGAUAUCACGAAGAACUCCGAUUGCGAAGGCAGCGUGCUAAGCUGCAACUGACAUUGAGGCUCGAAAGUGUGGGUAUCAAACA